RNAcentral lists this transfer RNA (73 nucleotides) under Diaphorina citri (Asian citrus psyllid). It matches the Rfam family "tRNA". Rfam says of the family: Transfer RNA (tRNA) molecules are approximately 80 nucleotides in length. Their secondary structure includes four short double-helical elements and three loops (D, anti-codon, and T loops). Lineage: Eukaryota; Metazoa; Arthropoda; Insecta; Hemiptera; Psyllidae. The record is from Rfam by way of RNAcentral.
GCCUAGUUAGCUUAGUUGGUAGCGCGUCUGCCUUGUAAGCGCUAGCCCGCGGGUUCGAUUCCCGUCCGGGGCG